AAGAGAUGCUUUCACACGAGGAGACCCUUUACACUGAGGGUGACCGAGCACUGGAAGAGGCUGCCCAGAGACAUAGCGGAGUGGAGACUUUCAAAACUCACCUGCGUGUGUUCCUGUGUGGUCUGCCCUAGCACUUUAGGAUUACCUGCCAUCUGGUGAAGACAGCAGAUACCCAGAAAAGGCCACCUAUCCUGAAUAAGCACUUCAUCAAGAAAAGGUUCCAGUUCAUGUCUGGAAGGCAGCAAAGUCCUGACUCCUGAAGCAACAGAAAGACAAAUAUCUGAAGGAGAAAGUACAGGUACUGGAAUGACAGGGAAACAUCAGAUCCAACACUAAGUCUAAAAAUAGUGUGAAAACACACAACACGCUCUCGCCCUCUCCAUGCGCACGUUCCAGACGUCCUCAUUCAGAAAGAACCAAGCUGAGGUCCUUUCAGCUGCAUUCUCCUCACAGUGCCACAAAAGGCUGGGGAGGCCGGUAGUUUCUCAGCAAGCAGCAGGCGACCUCAUCCUCAGCAGUGCUCAAGAGGCUGCGGAAUUUGGCUAGCUGCAAUCAAAAGAGACAUAAGGUUCAGCAGAAAACCCUCAUGCUCAUCCUAAGGAAAAAGCAGGAAUAUAUCCCGUCUUACCACCGCUCUGUCAGCGCAGCUUGUGACGAGACCUUGAGCAGACCAUACGUUGCCACAAAGAAUGGAGUCGUGGAUGCCUUCUGCUUCUGCUGGCUUUAAGGGGAUGAACCUUGCAUUCUUCUUUACCUGUACACUAAUUCCUCCUUCAAUCCAGUUGGUGCCUUUUCUUGAAAUCUUACGCAUCUUCCUUAGGAAGGUGAGCACUGAAACCAUCUUCAUGUCUCCUUUUGAGGUAUUUUCUUUUUGUGUGAGCAGUGCUCAGAGGCCUUGAUCUUAAUUCUGGGUUUCUUAUCCCAAUGCCAAAGCGACAUCUAGACAGCUUCUUGUGGAGAAUUACUCGACCAACAGGUACUGGGAAGCUUUUUAGACUGGCUAGAAAUUCAGACAUAUUUUCUCCUUCCAUUUGGUUUCUUAGAUGAGAAACAUAUAUAUAUUUUCUCAGCUAGAAAUUUGGGUUUGGUACUUAAUGGUUUUAAAGCACCUUUAUUAAUUCUUUAUAUUCCAUCUCACCUGGUUCCUGUGGAAAACAUAAGCCUUUAAACACUGCAAAUGUCACUUUACCCCCAUUAGUGUUAGAAAAAUGAUUUCUUUCCUGACCACACUUACAGCAUUUUCAGUCAAAUCUGGUCACAUCAUUGUGCAUACAUUUUUCUUCUUUAGUAUUAUGUCUGUUAUUUGUCCAAUACCAAGUUUUUUUAUACUUCUUUUUAACCCCAGAAAACUCUUCCACUGUCUGAAGUAUGUGUGCAGCACUCCUAAGUCUUGCAUUAUCUUUACACUGCACAGGCCCCAAAUCAAAUAACUCUGUGUAACUGAAGCUGGCUUUGAAAAUAUUCUCCAAAGAAGAGACAGUGAAAGACAGUCUAAAAUAAUUCUUGAACAUUAAUCUUGCUCUUAUCAAGAUCUUGUCGUCUGUACUCCUUUUUUAAUCCUCUCCAAAGCUUUCAAAUAGGUUCUCCUUUGAGAAAGGACCAAACAUGCAACACAUCAGGGAGAUUGCUUGUCUUUCAAUAAAAUGAAGGGAGAAUGAAAAGUGCCAAGAGGAGGAGCAACACAAUUCUUACAAUGGAAAACUAGUUAUGAGUUUAGAGGUUCAGGUGACUCCAUGUAAAGCCUUACCUCUGCUGCAUACUUCAUCCCAUCCACUGCAUGUUCAGACCCAGCUUCAUCGUUGGAUCCCCAAUGGAAGUGAAUCUGGCGCAGCCUGUAGGUUCCACUGAGAGGCCCCCCGGUCAGCACUGGAAAUCCAAGCAGAGGAAAAGGCAUCACUGCAGGAACAGGAGCUGCUAUCCACAUCUCUAACCUCACAGCAGACUUCUGUCUUCAGACAGUCUUCUACUUCUUCUCAAGUUGUCUUGGAUGGCUUCCUGUUUCUUUUAAGUACUACAGGAACCCCCCACUUGUCCAGGAUAUGACCUUCAAAUUUGCAUUUGUGUGUAGAUGAGUGGGUUAUGGCCCACUAAAGGGUAUGUUAUCACGAGGUUCAUCUUGCUGUGCUUUGGAUAUCUUAGAAGAUGGGAAAAUGUCUCUCUUUUCCCAGUGGUUUCCUCUCUUGAAUAUAUUUAAAAUAAUCAGUGAGAAAUUAAAUUUAAAAUACAGGGUUUGUGAAAAAAAAAAUCAUUGUUCUCUACAACUUCC
Long non-coding RNA from Pogoniulus pusillus (Red-fronted tinkerbird), 2266 nucleotides. RefSeq lists it as uncharacterized. The record is from RefSeq and is a predicted model, not a curated record. The transcript has 6 exons. Lineage: Eukaryota; Metazoa; Chordata; Aves; Piciformes; Lybiidae.